UUUGAUUCUGGCUCAGGAUGAACGCUGGCGGUAUGCCUUAUACAUGCAAGUCGUACGAGAGUUUUUAACUCAAGUGGCGGACGGGUGAGUAACGCGUAAGAAUUUGCCUUUAGGAGGGGGAUAACAACUGGAAACGGUUGCUAAUACCCCAUAUGCUUUCGAGUGAAACGGAUUUCCGCCUAAAGAGAAGCUUGCGUCUGAUUAGCUUGUUGGUAAGGUAAUGGCUUACCAAGGCGACGAUCAGUAUCUGGUUUGAGAGGACGAUCAGACACACUGGAACUGAGACACGGUCCAGACUCCUACGGGAGGCAGCAGUAGGGAAUUUUCCGCAAUGGGCGAAAGCCUGACGGAGCAAUACCGCGUGAGGGAUGAAUGCCUAUGGGUUGUAAACCUCUUUUUUCAGGGAGGAACAAAAUGACGUGUACCUGAAGAAUAAGCAUCGGCUAACUCCGUGCCAGCAGCCGCGGUAAGACGGAGGAUGCAAGUGUUAUCCGGAAUCACUGGGCGUAAAGCGUCUGUAGGUGGUCCAAUAAGUCAACUGUUAAAUCUUGAGGCUCAACCUCAAAAUCGCAGUCGAAACUAUUAGACUAGAGUAUAGUAGGGGUAAAGGGAAUUUCCAGUGGAGCGGUGAAAUGCGUAGAUAUUGGAAAGAACACCGAUGGCGAAGGCACUUUACUGGGCUAUUACUAACACUCAGAGACGAAAGCUAGGGUAGCAAAUGGGAUUAGAUACCCCAGUAGUCCUAGCUGUAAAUAAUGGAUACUAGAUGUUGAACAGAUCGACCUGUGCAGUAUCAAAGCUAACGCGUUAAGUAUCCCGCCUGGGAAGUAUGCUCGCAAGAGUGAAACUCAAGGAAUUGACGGGGCCCGCACAAGCGGUGGAGCAUGUGGUUUAUUCGAUGCA
This 903-nucleotide ribosomal RNA is filed under the name uncultured bacterium. Its description in RNAcentral is "bacterial SSU rRNA". It matches the Rfam family "Bacterial small subunit ribosomal RNA", at positions 12 to 958 of the family's 1533-position model. The record is from RNAcentral.